AUACGAAGGGGGCUAGCGUUGUUCGGAAUUACUGGGCGUAAAGCGCGCGUAGGCGGACUGAUCAGUUGGGGGUGAAAUCCCAGGGCUUAACCCUGGAACUGCCUCCAAUACUGUCAGUCUUGAGUUCGGGAGAGGUGAGUGGAAUUCCUAGUGUAGAGGUGAAAUUCGUAGAUAUUCGGAAGAACACCAGUGGCGAAGGCGGCUCACUGGCCCGAUACUGACGCUCAGGCGCGAAAGCGUGGGGAGCAAACAGGAUUAGAAACCCUAGUAGUCC
RNAcentral lists this ribosomal RNA (274 nucleotides) under uncultured bacterium. Its description in RNAcentral is "partial 16S ribosomal RNA". It matches the Rfam family "Bacterial small subunit ribosomal RNA", at positions 523 to 796 of the family's 1533-position model. The record is from RNAcentral.